CCUACGGGAGGCAGCAGUGAGGAAUAUUGGGCAAUGGACGAGAGUCUGAACCAGCCAAGUAGCGUGAAGGAUGACGGCCCUAUGGGUUGUAAACUUCUGUUAUAAAGGAAUAAAACGAGGCACGUGUGCCUUUUUGCAUGGACCUUAUGAAUAAGGAUCGGCUAACUCCGUGCCAGCAGCCGCGGUAAUACGGAGGGGCCGAGCGUUCUCCGGAGUUACUGGGUUUAAAGGGAGCGUAGCGGGGUUGUUAAGUCAGUUGUUAAAGUUUGCGGCUCAACCCUAAAAUUGCAGUUGAUACUGGCAGUCUUGAGUACCUUUGAGGUAAGCGGAAUUCCUGGUGUAGCGGUGACAUGCUUAGAUAUCACGCAGAACCCCGAUUGCUAAGGCAGCUUACUAGACUGUGACUGACAUUGAUGCUCGAAAGUGUGGGUAUCAAACAGGAUUAGAUACCCCUGUAGUC
Molecule: ribosomal RNA, 460 nt
Filed under: uncultured bacterium
Lineage: Bacteria
Description: partial 16S ribosomal RNA
Rfam family: Bacterial small subunit ribosomal RNA
Source: RNAcentral